CUCUCCUCAUCACUCUUCACGUCACAAACACAAACAAAAGCCUCACGAACACGAGCAGAAGCUUUCUCUCUCCCAAAAUCGCCUUCGUCUUCUCAUUUUCUCUGAAAUCUCAAGGAACGAAGCCACUCCAUUCUCGCCGUCGCCGCCGCCAUCUUCUUCCUCCUCUUCUCGUCAUCGCCGCUGACGGAAAGUCUGGAAAUGACCUUGAGCUUGUGCUCGGGCUCGCCCUGCCUCUCUCGCUGCCCUCACUCCUCCUCCCUCCACCUCUCCCGAUGCUGCUCCCCGAGCACCACCAACAUCGCCCUGCUGUCCAUUCUCCUCUGCAGCAGCGGCGGCAGCAGCCACUGCCCGCCGGCUCCGCGCCAUCUCCGGGAUUCGGCGGCUCCUCCCCCCGCUGUCUCGCGGUGCUCCUCCUUCGAGUGUAGGGCCUCGCUGAGCGAGAGCAAGAGCAGCGUCGCCGGCGAGCCGUCGUCCUCCUCCUCGGUGGUUUUGAGCAACGAGGUGGUCAGCGAAGCGUCCGGCGCUGGGGACGCUGACGAGGUGCUGCGUAUCAUCGCGGAGAAGGCCGGCGGGAGGGCAUGGCGUGGUCGGUGUGUCGGAUUGCUGCUCGAUUAUGGCCGCAGCGCUUGAGCGCGGCAAUGCCAGGUUGGCUCUGUCCGUGUUCUACGCCAUGCGCGCAACUUUCGAUCAAGGUCCAGGUGAAGACGGUAUUUAUGUCGACCGGUGGAGAUGGUCCAGGCCUGACGUGCGCUUAUACACACUGUUAGUUCAGGUCUUGCAGCAUCACUAAGGGUUUCUGAUGCUCUAAGUGUGAUUGAUAUCAUAUGCCAAGUAGGGGUUUCUCCCGGUGUGGAGGUAAAAUCCUACUGUUUCUUGCCUUAAAAUUUAAAAGCUGUUUUGGCUGCCAAUUAUGCAUGCAUUUGCCUUAGAAAACUGUUACUUGGAUAAUUGUUGGUAGUUUUCCUACCGACCCCGCACUACCUGGAAUUUUUUUGCUUCUAGCAGGUCCCUUUCGGGAAGGUUGUGAGAUGUCCAAGUUGUAUGGUAGCUGUCGCUGUUGCACAACCGCAAGAUGGUAUUCAAAUUGUUUCCUGUGCCACCUGCCGUUACAAGUAUGAGCUAUUUUCCGGUGACAUUAUUAGUAUUUACUCCGAAGAGAUCAGGGUCUCCUCCUGCCGAACGCAGCAUGGAUGUUCCAGCAUGGAAACGGGGGCUAAGAUUUUGGAAUCUGAUCUUUGAUCUGCAAAACACGAGCUAAUGUAUCGAGUCACACUACAUUGGAAGUACUAAAACAUGAACUUUCCGCUGUUUCGCAGGUUACGGAAAAUGUGUCUAUUCCACGCCGGGGUAAGUUUGCUUACCGUUAAAAUCGCUCGCUUCCUCGUGCUCCGCUCGAUUAGCUCGGUGCUUGUUCACAUCGUGUUUCUCGUUCUUUACAGCUUGGCCUCGCCCGCGCCGCCAUGACCCGAGCACGACUCGAGCCUCUUCGGCAUCAAGAUAGUGGGGAUUCUGCUGUUGUUGCUGCUGUGAGAUCAGAUCAAGCUGCCAAAAAGAUAAUGCACAAUCACCUCCAAGUGAUUGUGCUGUGGUGUUUAAUGUCUAUUACUAUCGGGAUCGGCUCAAUUUUGUUCGCGUGAAUUUCUGUUUUGGCCAUCUAAUAUUUGUUUGCACAUAUGCAUCAUCAUCUGUUUUCGCAUCUUUUCUUGUUCAGAUGAAAAGGGUGAUACCAAA
Syzygium oleosum is the source of this 1731-nucleotide long non-coding RNA. RefSeq lists it as uncharacterized. The transcript has 4 exons. NCBI's taxonomy places the organism in Eukaryota, Viridiplantae, Streptophyta, Magnoliopsida, Myrtales, Myrtaceae. The record is from RefSeq and is a predicted model, not a curated record.